AUACUUACCUGGCAGGGGAGAUACCAUGAUCAUGAAAAUGGUUCACCCAGGGCGAGGCUCAGCCAUUGCACUUCGGUUGUGCUGACCUGUGAAUUCCCAAAAUGUUGGAAUCUCGACUGCAUAAUUUGUGGUAGUGGGGGACUGCGUCCGCGCUCUCCCCUG
This is a small nuclear RNA of Platichthys flesus (European flounder), 162 nucleotides long. RefSeq annotates it as U1 spliceosomal RNA. The transcript has a single exon. Lineage: Eukaryota; Metazoa; Chordata; Actinopteri; Pleuronectiformes; Pleuronectidae. The record is from RefSeq and is a predicted model, not a curated record.